Molecule: microRNA precursor, 72 nt
Filed under: Choloepus hoffmanni (Hoffmann's two-fingered sloth)
Lineage: Eukaryota; Metazoa; Chordata; Mammalia; Pilosa; Megalonychidae
Description: miRNA (ENSCHOG00000015319.1)
Source: RNAcentral
UGCGAGCCUCUGUGUGUGUGUGUGUGUGUGUGUGUGUUGCUCAACCAGCAGGUGGGGAGCACACCCCCAGGC